This 74-nucleotide transfer RNA is filed under the name Planctomycetota bacterium. Its description in RNAcentral is "Planctomycetes bacterium (activated sludge metagenome) tRNA-Gln". It matches the Rfam family "tRNA". From Rfam's summary of the family: Transfer RNA (tRNA) molecules are approximately 80 nucleotides in length. Their secondary structure includes four short double-helical elements and three loops (D, anti-codon, and T loops). Lineage: Bacteria; Pseudomonadati; Planctomycetota. The record is from RNAcentral.
UUCCGCGUGGUGUAACGGUAGCACUAGAGUUUUUGGUACUCUCAGUCGAGGUUCGAAUCCUCGCGCGGAAACCA